Molecule: RNA transcript, 1003 nt
Organism: Mandrillus leucophaeus (drill)
Lineage: Eukaryota; Metazoa; Chordata; Mammalia; Primates; Cercopithecidae
Gene name: GTP-binding nuclear protein Ran-like
Exons: 1
Source: RefSeq, a predicted model, not a curated record
AUGGCUGCUCAGGGAGAGCCCCAGGUCCAGUUCAAACUUGUAUUGGUUGGUGAUGGUGGUCCUUGAAAAACGACCUUCGUGAAACAUCAUUUGACUGGUGAAUUUGAGAAGAAGUAUGUAGCCACCUUGGGUGCUGAGGUUCAUCCCCUAGUGUUCCACAUCAACAGAGGACCUAUUAAAUUCAAUGUAGGGGACACAGCCGGCCAGGAGAAAUUCGGCGGACUGAGAGAUGGCUAUUAUAUCCAAGCCCAGUGUGUCAUCAUAAUGUUUGACGUAACAUCGAGAGUUACUUACAAGAAUGUGCCUAACUGGCACAGAGAUCUGGUACGAGUGUGUGAAAACAUCCCCAUUGUGUUGUGUGGCAACAAAGUGGAUAUUAAGGACAGGAAAGUGAAGGCGAAAUCCAUUGGCUUCCACUGAAAGAAGAAUCUUCAGUACUACGACAUAUCUGCCAAAAGUAACUACAACUUUGAAAAGCCCUUCCCUCUGGCUUGCUAGGAAGCUCAUUGGAGACCCUAACUUGGAAUUUGUUGCCAUGCCUGCUCUUGCCUCACUGGAAGUUGUCAUGGACGCGGCUUUGGCAGCACAGUAUGAGCACAACUUAGAGGUUGCUCAGACAACUGCUCUCGCGGAUGAGGAUGAUGACCUGUGAGAAUGGAGCUGGAGCCCAGCGUCAGAAGUCUAGUUUUAUAGGCAGCUGUCCUGUGAUGUCAGCAGUGCAGCGUGUGUGCCACCUCAUUAUUAUCUAGCUAAGCGGAACAUGUGCUUCAUCUGUGGGAUGCUGAAGGAAAUGAGUGGGCUUUGGAGUGAAUGUGGCAGUUUAAAAAAUACCUUCAUUGUUUGGACCUGCAUAUUUAGCUGUUUUGGAACGCAGCUGAUUCCUUGAGUUUCAAAUAUAAGACUGCUACAGUCACAUCACAAUAUUCAGUGGUGAAAUCUUGUUUGUUACUGUCAUUCCCAUUCCUUUUCGUUUAGAAUCAGAAUAAAGUUGUAUUUCAAAUAU